CAAUAGCGUAUAUUAAAGUUGUUGCGGUUAAAAAGCUCGUAGUUGGAUUUCUGUUGAGGACGACCGGUCCGCCCUCUGGGUGAGUAUCUGGCUCGGCCUUGGCAUCUUCUUGGAGAACGUAACUGCACUUGACUGUGUGGUGCGGUAUCCAGGACUUUUACUUUGAGGAAAUUAGAGUGUUUAAAGCAGGCUUUUGCUAUGAAUACAUUAGCAUGGAAUAAUAAUCUAGGACUUCGGUUCUAUUUUGUUGGUUUCUUAGUACUGAAGUAAUGAUUGAUAGGGAGUAGUUGGGGGUGGCUAGUAUUGUAGCGGCCGAGAGGUGAAAUUACUUGGAUUCGCUCAAGACUAACUUAUGCGAAGACAUUCACCAACGGAUGUCUUCUUUAA
Molecule: ribosomal RNA, 387 nt
Filed under: uncultured eukaryote
Lineage: Eukaryota
Description: bacterial SSU rRNA
Rfam family: Eukaryotic small subunit ribosomal RNA
Source: RNAcentral